RNAcentral lists this ribosomal RNA (2032 nucleotides) under Triticum aestivum (bread wheat). RNAcentral describes it as "partial small subunit ribosomal RNA". Lineage: Eukaryota; Viridiplantae; Streptophyta; Magnoliopsida; Poales; Poaceae. The record is from RNAcentral.
AGUGGUGGCACGUGGUGCCGGAGAAUAGGUAAGGGAGGUGGUGGUGGCCCGUGCGCGGCGGUGCGUGUCGGCAAACGGCGGUCUCAGGUGCGGUGUCCUCGGUUCCUCCGCCCGCAUGCGCAACGGGCUCGGGUCCUUACCCCGCUCCGCAGCGCCGACCGCAACCGUUUAAGUAAGGGCCGCCGCCGCCGAAGGCCGCUCCUCCGCUCGCUCGAGCCCCUCGAGGCCGCCCCCGAACAGCGGCCGCUCCGCUCCGGCUCCGCCGCCACGCGCCCGCGCUCCUCCGCCCCAGCUCCUCCGCGUCCUCCUGCGGCCCGCCCCCGAACCGCUCCCACUGCCGCCAACGCUCCCGAACCGCCGCUGGCCGCACGAGCGAACCCUCCUACCUCCGACGGAGCGGUCCCGAGCCCGCGCCGUCAUGCCGCAGCCCUGCAACGGCUACAGCGGCCCCGGCCCCGCCACCAAAUUGCCCGCUGCUCCUCCUCCACGACAGGAUCUCGGUCGCUGCCGCCGACGUCGAACUGCUACGCCCGCACUUGACGAACGAAGUCCCCGACGCCCGGCACUCGCCGCGACACGAACGCGCGCUCUGUACACAGACUAAACCUUUCUUAGUUAGGCAACUUCCUCUUCCGGUUACGUUGACGAGAGAUCUAUCCGUGAGCUCACAGGUAGGGUUACCUUACCAUGUUUAACGACGACCAUGACUUGUAACUGUCUAUUUUGAAUCGUAUAGGUCUUUAUGUAGUAAUAUUCGAUGAAGGUAUCUACGUAAAUCUAGUAUCGUAGACUUGAACUCCUAUCGUCUGUUUUUAAGUUUGUCUUUCGUUCGAUGCGAGGUAUAACACAAGAAAUAUAGGGUAUAGCUUAUUGUCCAAGCAUAAACUAACCAAAGAAGUGUCGUCGCGUACCUGUUAUUUUCUAGAGACAAAACUAUAUAAAGAUACGGUACUAAACAGAUAACGGUGACAAAGACUUAAAAAAAAACAGGUAUUUAGUACGCUGAGUUCAGUUAAACUCUAGCUUAAACAAGUACUCCAGUUUUGCCUUGGAACGCUGUCGAGGUCCAAUUGUAUGUAGGUAUGACUUAAAAGAACCGUAUUAACAUUUCUGACAAGAUACAUAAAAAUACCGUCGCUGCACUCCAAAAAUUAACCAUAACACGAACUUUGUUUCAACGUACUAUGUAUAAAGGAUGUUAGUAAAACUUUCCAAACGGGGGAAAAACAUCCAAUAUUCUAUCCAGGACUUAAGAACCGUCUAUAACAUACUUGCGGAUAAGUCUCAUAAAACGGGAACUAACGUUUCUAUAAUAGAAUGUCUAUUGGAAACUGAAGAGCUACUUGAGACAUGACAGUCAUAAACACGUGUUACGUGUAAGACUUUGAAUGUUGAUAAUCACUAGUUACUCUUUUCUUGUGAACUAGGAGCUAAGAAUUUGAUAGUAGAAUGAGUAUUGGUACAUGAUGAGUCACUUGAGAUAUAUAGAUAGUCAUCAACAUUCGUCAUGUUUCGCCACAGUUUAAGUCAUAAUAUACAUGUACUCAAACGAAUAAAGUCCGUUCGUUGUUGUUUGUCUGAAACAACAAAAAUCAGAUUACGCUAUAAACAACCCGCAGUGGCUCCUUACGGUCGUUUCCGCACUUCUUUAUGAACAUUAGUCACACUGUACAGCACACUCUACUUCCACCGUUUGGUAGUGAACUUCGGUUCGUACACCACCUAGGCGGUACCUACUACCUACCUGGCUACUCACAUCUUCAAACUCGACGCUUUGAAACACGCUAGCUCGAGAACCACGUUAAUUCGUAUACCGAAAACACUACACAGUACAUCCGUCACUAACUGAUAUAAAGAAAGGGAGAAUUUAAACAACAUUAUUCCAAUGGGAAAUGUCUUCUUUCUAACUUGGCGGAAAACCAAAUCCAUCUUCGUGGGAAACUACAAAAGGUUAAGAAACAUAAGUAAGAUAAUACACGAUAUUAUCAAUUAACGUAUAUAUACAUGAUACAAACCUAUAAGAGUGCGUUGU